GUGCACCAGGCGAGAAAACUUCACACUGUGCGAAAGCACGAUGAGGGAAUCCCAAGUGCUUGCACGUAAGUGUAAGCUGUUUCUCUGUCUAAAACGCAGAGAGAGUAAGGGCUGGGUAAGACGGGUGCCAGCCGCCGCGGUAAUACCUGCAGCUCAAGUGGUGACCGUUAUUAUUGGGCCUAAAACGUCCGUAGCCGGUUUAAUAAAUGCCUGGGUAAAUUGUGUAGCUUAACUAUACGAAUUCCGGGUAGACUGUUAAACUUGAGACCGGGAGAAGUUAGAGGUACUCCUGGGGUAGAGGUGAAAUUCUGUAAUCCUAGGGGGACCACCAGUGGCGAAGGCGUCUAACUAGAACGGGUCUGACGGUGAGGGACGAAGCCCUGGGGCGC
Molecule: ribosomal RNA, 389 nt
Filed under: uncultured microorganism
Description: bacterial SSU rRNA
Rfam family: Archaeal small subunit ribosomal RNA
Source: RNAcentral